UCGUUGUUUCCGAUGAUGGUGCAAUACAGGUGAUCGGACUGGGGGCCAUUGGUUUCCGGGAAGUUCACCGAUAUUUCUUCAAUAGAGGAAGCAA
This 94-nucleotide ribosomal RNA is filed under the name uncultured eukaryote. Its description in RNAcentral is "partial small subunit ribosomal RNA". The record is from RNAcentral.